This is a long non-coding RNA of Sander lucioperca (pikeperch), 118 nucleotides long. RefSeq lists it as uncharacterized. The record is from RefSeq and is a predicted model, not a curated record. Lineage: Eukaryota; Metazoa; Chordata; Actinopteri; Perciformes; Percidae. The transcript is spliced from 3 exons.
GUGUCUCGCGUUUAUGUGAGUGAUACCCAAUCAGCAGAGACGUGUCUGUAAACUCGUGGUAAUAAAAAGGCAGAGCGCUUUCGCACACAACAGUGUGUUUAACGCACCCCCCCCGUUU